This 109-nucleotide ribosomal RNA is filed under the name Mus pahari (shrew mouse). The record is from RNAcentral. Lineage: Eukaryota; Metazoa; Chordata; Mammalia; Rodentia; Muridae.
CCAUACCACCCUGAACACGCCCGAGCUCGCCUGAUCUCGGAAGCUAAGCAGGGUUGGGCCUGGUUAGUACUUGGAUGGGAGACUACCUAGGAAUACAGGGCUAGAGAGA